RNAcentral lists this transfer RNA (38 nucleotides) under Equus caballus (horse). RNAcentral's name for it is "partial tRNA-Phe". The record is from RNAcentral. RNAcentral also lists the same sequence under 1 other name. Lineage: Eukaryota; Metazoa; Chordata; Mammalia; Perissodactyla; Equidae.
CUGAAAAUGCCUAGAUGAGUAUUCUUACUCCAUAAACA